This 93-nucleotide ribosomal RNA is filed under the name Eriachne glauca. Its description in RNAcentral is "partial 28S ribosomal RNA". It matches the Rfam family "Eukaryotic large subunit ribosomal RNA", at positions 1 to 90 of the family's 3401-position model. The record is from RNAcentral. Lineage: Eukaryota; Viridiplantae; Streptophyta; Magnoliopsida; Poales; Poaceae.
CCGCGACCCCAGGUCAGGCGGGACUACCCGCUGAGUUUAAGCAUAUAAAUAAGCGGAGGAGAAGGAACUUACGAGGAUUCCCCUAGUAACGGC